AGGAGAGCUUGCUCUCUGGGUGGCGAGUGGCGGACGGGUGAGGAAUACAUCGGAAUCUACUUUUUCGUGGGGGAUAACGUAGGGAAACUUACGCUAAUACCGCAUACGACCUACGGGUGAAAGCAGGGGAUCUUCGGACCUUGCGCGAUUGAAUGAGCCGAUGUCGGAUUAGCUAGUUGGCGGGGUAAAGGCCCACCAAGGCGACGAUCCGUAGCUGGUCUGAGAGGAUGAUCAGCCACACUGGAACUGAGACACGGUCCAGACUCCUACGGGAGGCAGCAGUGGGGAAUAUUGGACAAUGGGCGCAAGCCUGAUCCAGCCAUACCGCGUGGGUGAAGAAGGCCUUCGGGUUGUAAAGCCCUUUUGUUGGGAAAGAAAUCCAGCUGGCUAAUACCCGGUUGGGAUGACGGUACCCAAAGAAUAAGCACCGGCUAACUUCGUGCCAGCAGCCGCGGUAAUACGAAGGGUGCAAGCGUUACUCGGAAUUACUGGGCGUAAAGCGUGCGUAGGUGGUCGUUUAAGUCCGUUGUGAAAGCCCUGGGCUCAACCUGGGAACUGCAGUGGAUACUGGGCGACUAGAAUGUGGUAGAGGGUAGCGGAAUUCCUGGUGUAGCAGUGAAAUGCGUAGAGAUCAGGAGGAACAUCCAUGGCGAAGGCAGCUACCUGGACCAACA
RNAcentral lists this ribosomal RNA (674 nucleotides) under Stenotrophomonas maltophilia. RNAcentral's name for it is "bacterial SSU rRNA". It matches the Rfam family "Bacterial small subunit ribosomal RNA", at positions 72 to 739 of the family's 1533-position model. Lineage: Bacteria; Pseudomonadati; Pseudomonadota; Gammaproteobacteria; Lysobacterales; Lysobacteraceae. The record is from RNAcentral.